UACGAAGGGGGCUAGCGUUGCUCGGAAUUACUGGGCGUAAAGGGCGCGUAGGCGGAUAUUUAAGUUAGAGGUGAAAGCCCAGGGCUCAACCCUGGAAUAGCCUUUAAUACUGGAUAUCUUGAGUUCGGGGAGAGGUGAGUGGAACUCCGAGUGUAGAGGUGAAAUUCGUAGAUAUUCGGAAGAACACCAGUGGCGAAGGCGACUUACUGGACUGUAACUGACGCUGAGGCAUGAAAGCGUGGGGGAGCAAACAGG
This 255-nucleotide ribosomal RNA is filed under the name uncultured bacterium. RNAcentral's name for it is "partial 16S ribosomal RNA". It matches the Rfam family "Bacterial small subunit ribosomal RNA", at positions 524 to 776 of the family's 1533-position model. The record is from RNAcentral.